RNAcentral lists this ribosomal RNA (468 nucleotides) under uncultured bacterium. Its description in RNAcentral is "partial 16S ribosomal RNA". It matches the Rfam family "Bacterial small subunit ribosomal RNA", at positions 28 to 507 of the family's 1533-position model. The record is from RNAcentral.
GACGAACGCUGGCGGCGUGCUUAAUACAUGCAAGUCGAGCGGAAAGGCCCUGCUUUUGUGGGGUGCUCGAGUGGCGAACGGGUGAGUAACACGUGAGUAACCUGUCCUUGACUUUGUGAUAACUCCAGGAAACUGGGGCUAAUAUCGGAUAGGAGCUCCUGCUGCAUGGUGGGGGUUGGUAAGUUUCGGCGGUAGGGGAUGGACUGGCGGCUUAUCAGCUUGUUGGUGGGGUAGUGGCAUACGAAGGCUGUGACGGGUAGGCAACCUGAGAGGGUAAACAGCCACAAUAGGACUACGAUAGGGCCCAGACUCCAAUGGGCGGCAACAGUUGGAAACCUGACGCACCAAGCCCACGCCUGUUGCAGCAAUCUCGCGAGCGGGAAGCCCUCCUUCGGGUGAAGAACAGCUUUCGACGGAACCGAGGCGGGAGUGACGGUACUGAGUCAAAAAGCACCGGCUAACUACGUG